UACAGAGGUCUCAAGCGUUGUUCGGAUUCAUUGGGCGUAAAGGGUGCGUAGGCGGCGCGGUAAGUCGGGUGUGAAAUCUCGGAGCUUAACUCCGAAACUGCAUUCGAUACUGCCGUGCUUGAGGACUGGAGAGGAGACUGGAAUUUACGGUGUAGCGGUGAAAUGCGCAGAUAUCAGGAAGAACACCCGUGGCGAAGGCGGCUCUCUGGGACGGUACUGACGCUGAGACGCGAAAGCGUGGGGAGCGAACAGG
This 253-nucleotide ribosomal RNA is filed under the name uncultured bacterium. Its description in RNAcentral is "partial 16S ribosomal RNA". It matches the Rfam family "Bacterial small subunit ribosomal RNA", at positions 524 to 776 of the family's 1533-position model. The record is from RNAcentral.